CCUACGGGUGGCAGCAGUGAGGAAUAUUGGUCAAUGGUCGGCAGACUGAACCAGCCAAGCCGCGUGAGGGACGAAUGCUCUGUGUAUUGUAAACCUCUUUUGUAAGGGAAGAAAUACUGCUACCUGUCUCAUGAUGCCCGUACCUUAUGCAUAAGCCUCGGCUAACUCGGUGCCAGCGGCCGCGGUAAUCCGGAGGAUGCGAGCGUUAUCCGGAUUUAUUGGGUUAAAAGGGUGCGUAGGCGGUUUGUUAAGCUUGUGCGAAAACCUCGGGGCUUAACCUUGAUUCGCCGUUGAUACUGUAAGACUCGAGUGCAGGCGAGGUAUGCGGAAUAAGUGGAGUAGCGGUGAAAUGCAUAGAUAUAACGUAGAACUCCGAUAGCGAAGGCAGCUUACCGGACUGAGACUGACGCUGAGGCACGAGAGCGUGGGUAGCGAACAGGAUUAGAUACCCGGGUAGUC
This 459-nucleotide ribosomal RNA is filed under the name uncultured bacterium. Its description in RNAcentral is "partial 16S ribosomal RNA". It matches the Rfam family "Bacterial small subunit ribosomal RNA", at positions 338 to 795 of the family's 1533-position model. The record is from RNAcentral.